This is a long non-coding RNA of Corticium candelabrum, 789 nucleotides long. RefSeq lists it as uncharacterized. Lineage: Eukaryota; Metazoa; Porifera; Homoscleromorpha; Homosclerophorida; Plakinidae. The transcript is spliced from 3 exons. The record is from RefSeq and is a predicted model, not a curated record.
GUUCUGGCUGAUUGUUUGCUUGCUAGAUCGUCUGUCUACUUGCCUAGAGUUGUUUGCUGAUUUUUGCUCAUUUGUCUCUCUUUCUGCCUACUCACUGACUCUUCUACUCAACCAGGCUAGGCUAUUUUUCUUCUCUACAGAGAAUUUAUUGAUUUACUGAUGUCUUUACAGGAGGUAGCAUGUGUCGUCUACGAUCCUAAUAGCAAUUUGUUGGGGUACCUAGACAAUUUGACAGGAUUUUUGAUAGAGAUGACAGACGCGAUGUCCUUGGCUGCUGACGGCAAUUAGGGGCAGUUUGAUGGUGAAAUGCCACACGAUUGAUGGCAGAGCUGAUACACGAAUCACCAACAUGAAGAACUCUGUUGCUCAUGUCAUGGAUAUGCAGUGAAUUUACGUCUAGAACACAGGGUAGUUGCCCAUGGCAUGCUACAAUAUUCAUCAUAAUUUGAUACAGGUGGGAGAAGAAAACGACUGCUGUUACACGUACAAGAUGACGAUCAUCUGUUACAAGUCAGAAAUUCAGACUUGGUUCACUGUGUUUGAAGUUUUAGUUCAAACAUGACAAGAAAAAAUUGUAUUAAACUUGCACUUUAGGUAGAUUGUUCUUAUCAUAAUUAUAUAUGGAUCAUAUCAACUCAUAUGGAAUAGUGACAAUUAUUUACCACUAAAAUGCAAUGUCAAUUCUUUCAAAGUACCACUCCAGUACAAGUAAAACUAGUAACUACGAAUACUUUCAUCACUUCCGUUUCGUUUAGUACUAGCACAAGCUUGACUAGUCAUGACUCCUCC